Molecule: transfer RNA, 58 nt
Filed under: Dipodomys ordii (Ord's kangaroo rat)
Lineage: Eukaryota; Metazoa; Chordata; Mammalia; Rodentia; Heteromyidae
Rfam family: tRNA
About the family: Transfer RNA (tRNA) molecules are approximately 80 nucleotides in length. Their secondary structure includes four short double-helical elements and three loops (D, anti-codon, and T loops).
Source: Rfam by way of RNAcentral
UGGCUCAGUGGUAGAGCACUUGCUUUGCAUGCAUGAGGCCCUGGGUUCAAUUCCUCAG